UACGUAGGGUGCGAGCGUUAAUCGGAAUUAUUGGGCGUAAAGCGCACGUAGGCGGCCAACUAAGUCAGACGUGAAAUCCCUCGGCUUAACCGGGGAACUGCGUCUGAUACUGGAUGGCUUGAGGUUGUGAGAGGGAUGCGGAAUUCCAGGUGUAGCGGUGAAAUGCGUAGAUAUCUGGAGGAACACCGGUGGCGAAGGCGGCAUCCUGGACCAAUUCUGACGCUGAGGAGCGAAAGCCAGGGGAGCAAACGGG
RNAcentral lists this ribosomal RNA (253 nucleotides) under uncultured bacterium. RNAcentral describes it as "partial 16S ribosomal RNA". It matches the Rfam family "Bacterial small subunit ribosomal RNA", at positions 524 to 776 of the family's 1533-position model. The record is from RNAcentral.